This 212-nucleotide unclassified non-coding RNA is filed under the name rhizosphere metagenome. RNAcentral's name for it is "partial ribosomal RNA internal transcribed spacer region". The record is from RNAcentral.
GUAGGUGAACCUGCGGAAGGAUCAUUAAUUUCGGUGGUUUUCCACUGUUAUGAGGGGGGCUUCGGCCCCUUCUCUCCUUCCUUGUCUUUUUGCGUACCCAAGUUUCGUUGGUAGGCUUGCCUGCCAAUGACAACCUAUAACCCUUUUAAUUUUAAAUCAGCGUCUGAAAAUUAUAAUAAUUACAACUUUCAACAACGGAUCUCUUGGUUCUG